CAGCCCUGACGUCAACUACGAGGAGCUGGCCAGGUGCACUGAUGACUUCAACGGCGCCCAGUGCAAAGCAGUGUGUGUGGAGGCGGGUAUGAUCGCCCUUCGCAGGGGGGCAACUGAGCUCAAUCAUGAGGACUACAUGGAAGGCAUCUUGGAAGUACAAGCUAAGAAGAAGGCCAACCUGCAGUACUACGCCUAAGACUCUUCAGGGAAAGUGUGUGAUACUCUCCUAUUGUAUCCAAAACAUGAACCAAUCUGUAUUAUUUGUGCAGCCAUAAUAGUCCACAGUGUACAACACUAAUUGCCACUUCUCACUCUUUGGUGCUUCGGAAGUUGUUUGGUCUGAGGCUGGGACUGGAGACAUGUUUUGGUACCAAUGGUCCAUGAAAGAAUAAAAAAAGCUUUUUUCAUUAA
Molecule: long non-coding RNA, 411 nt
Organism: Salvelinus namaycush (lake trout)
Lineage: Eukaryota; Metazoa; Chordata; Actinopteri; Salmoniformes; Salmonidae
Exons: 2
Source: RefSeq, a predicted model, not a curated record